GGUAAGCAGCCAAUGGAUUUCCUGAAGCUUCCAGCCUCCACCCACAGUUCAACAAAUUAAGCCACGCUUUACUCACUCCUUUUGUCCCUCUCCCAACCCACUCCCCUUCUCCCACUCUUUAUAACCUCUCGCCAUCUUCCUCCCCAAUAUAUGCUUCAACCACCACCACUGAUCCAGCCGUCAAGCAAAAGUAAUAUUUAGAAGAUAUCUUCUAUGUGUAUAUGGACAUGGACACCCCCCUGUCAUCCUCCUCAUCCUUCUCACCCUCCAGCUUUUUUGGAUCCUUCGGUGGCGGCGGUGACACUCACCACUUCCUUGACGCCUGUUUUCUCUGCAAGAAGCCCAUAUCUGCCAACGAAGACAUCUUCAUGUACAGAGGGAAUGAACCGUUUUGUAGCAACGAGUGUAGGAAGAAGCAGAUAGAGAUGGAUGAGGCGUUGGAGAAUAACCGCAAGAAAUUCUCCUCCUCCUCUUCUUCUAUCAACAACUCUUCUUCGUCAGCGUCGUCGAUGAUAAAGCACGAGCCAAGCGUCAUCAUCCAUCAAAACUCCCGCAACGUUCAUGCCGUGUUUGCUAGCCACUAGUGUUUGUGUACUAGUAGAAUGAGAGGUAUAAAGAGAUAAAAGGGAGGCAACGUUUUAAGGGCUCAGCCAUUGCUUUCUCUCUCUUUUUCUUUUUUUUGGCUUUAGUUUCAUGUAAGGAAGAUUCUUUAGAGUCCUCCACCAGCAGCCAAAGGGGUUUCUUCAACUCUUAAGAAACAGGAAAAUGCAAAAUUUAGAACAUGAGCUGGAGUUGUUCGUAGUGUUGUAUCAAAGGGUGAUGAUGGUUAUUUUAUGUAAAUUUUGCACAUCCAGGAUAAUUUUUGUUGAUAUUUUGUAUGUCUAAUUUUUUUUUCCAAGA
Long non-coding RNA from Elaeis guineensis (African oil palm), 900 nucleotides. RefSeq lists it as uncharacterized. NCBI's taxonomy places the organism in Eukaryota, Viridiplantae, Streptophyta, Magnoliopsida, Arecales, Arecaceae. The record is from RefSeq and is a predicted model, not a curated record.